Molecule: ribosomal RNA, 403 nt
Filed under: uncultured bacterium
Lineage: Bacteria
Description: bacterial SSU rRNA
Rfam family: Bacterial small subunit ribosomal RNA
Source: RNAcentral
GACGAACGCUGGCGGCGUGCUUAACACAUGCAAGUGGAGCGACGAACCAGGCUUCGGCCUGGGGCAAAGCCGCGAACGGGUGAGUAACACGUGGGUAACCUGCCCUGAUGACCGGGACAACCCGAGGAAACUCGGGCUAAUACCGGAUGUGCUCCCACCACAUCAGUGGUGUGAGUAAAGGUAGCUUCGGCCUCCGCAUCGGGAUGGGCCCGCGGCGCAUUAGCUUGUUGGUGGGGUAAAGCCACCAAGGCAACGAUGCGUAGCUGGUCUGAGAGGACGAUCAGCCACACUGGGACUGAGACACGGCCCAGACUCCUACGGGAGGCAGCAGUGGGGAAUCUUGCGCAAUGCGCGAAAGCGUGACGCAGCAACGCCGCGUGGGUGAAGAAGGCCUGGUGUAAGA